This is a long non-coding RNA of Haliotis rufescens (red abalone), 469 nucleotides long. RefSeq lists it as uncharacterized. The record is from RefSeq and is a predicted model, not a curated record. NCBI's taxonomy places the organism in Eukaryota, Metazoa, Mollusca, Gastropoda, Lepetellida, Haliotidae. The transcript has 3 exons.
CGCUUCGUGAGGAAACAUGGCGGCCGGCUAUUCGGGGAUGUUGAGGUUGAUGUCGGCGGUGUUCAUUGUCAUCAGCUUUGCUGAUGGGGCAGACACAUCGGACCUGCCAAAAAGUCAACAUCUCUCACUGAGAGCACGUUGUCCGUGAGUUUGGACAUCGUCGACCCCGUCAAUAACCUCCCUGUCAUCACAGCAAAACUGGGCCAGCGAGUCCGUCUCCAGCUGAAGCUGAACAACGUCGAGGAGUUCGGUGUGAACGCUAUCUCUCCAUACAAUCGCUCCGUCGGGACACUGGACCAUGGACACAACGUCGUCUUUACUGACGAACACGGGUUCGUAGACACGUCAUACAUCGCAAUCUGUUCGUUCUGUCUGUCUACUAUACAUUCGCAUCAAGAUUGAGAGAAAGUAAAGCAUAAAGGAAAUUCUCGAUGCUAUUGACUCACUUAAACCUGGAAAAUCUCCAUGC